CAGCCGCCACGGUAAUACGUAGGGUGCGAGCGUUAAUCGGAAUUACUGGGCGUAAAGCGUGCGCAGGCGGUUAUAUAAGACAGAUGUGAAAUCCCCGGGCUCAACCUGGGACCUGCAUUUGUGACUGUAUAGCUAGAGUACGGUAGAGGGGGAUGGAAUUCCGCGUGUAGCAGUGAAAUGCGUAGAUAUGCGGAGGAACACCGAUGGCGAAGGCAAUCCCCUGGACCUGUACUGACGCUCAUGCACGAAAGCGUGGGGAGCAAACAGGAUUAGAUACCCGAGUAGUCCCUGUCUCUUAUAC
RNAcentral lists this ribosomal RNA (301 nucleotides) under uncultured bacterium. RNAcentral's name for it is "partial 16S ribosomal RNA". It matches the Rfam family "Bacterial small subunit ribosomal RNA", at positions 509 to 807 of the family's 1533-position model. The record is from RNAcentral.